RNAcentral lists this long non-coding RNA (394 nucleotides) under Rattus norvegicus (Norway rat). RNAcentral describes it as "long non-coding RNA NONRATT019276". The record is from RNAcentral. Lineage: Eukaryota; Metazoa; Chordata; Mammalia; Rodentia; Muridae.
GGCCGAAAAGAGAUCAGUUCUAACCUGCUCGGCAGGAAUAACGGUCCUGCCUCCCGACACUCUUGGCGAGGUUUUGUUCAGUUUGCUCCGGGAGCUGUUUCUUCGCCUCCACCUUUUUCUCCCCCACACUUCGCGGCUUCUUCAUGCUUUUUCUUCUCACCAUUUCUGGCCAAAACUACAAACAAGACUUCGCAGGUAGGUCCCCCCCCCCCUUCUUUUCCUCCUCUUUUUAUCCUUUUUUGGUGUGCUUGUCCCCCAUCCUCCCUCUCUAAUUUUCUCAUUUCGAGUGGGGAUGUUAGUCUGAAGAGAGCCGGGUGUCUGUGGACAGGAAUUUCAGGUGGUUUUAGCUCCUCGGUGGCAGACUUUUCCCAAGAGUGGCUUCUUUGCUUUCUCU